UAGUGGCGAACGGGUGAGUAACACGUGGGCAAUCUGCCCUUCACUCUGGGACAAGCCCUGGAAACGGGGUCUAAUACCGGAUAAUACCUGCCUGGGCAUCUGGGUGGGUUGAAAGCUCCGGCGGUGAAGGAUGAGCCCGCGGCCUAUCAGCUUGUUGGUGAGGUAGUGGCUCACCAAGGCGACGACGGGUAGCCGGCCUGAGAGGGCGACCGGCCACACUGGGACUGAGACACGGCCCAGACUCCUACGGGAGGCAGCAGUGGGGAAUAUUGCACAAUGGGCGAAAGCCUGAUGCAGCGACGCCGCGUGAGGGAUGACGGCCUUCGGGUUGUAAACCUCUUUCAGCAGGGAAGAAGCGAGAGUGACGGUACCUGCAGAAGAAGCGCCGGCUAACUACGUGCCAGCAGCCGCGGUAAUACGUAGGGCGCAAGCGUUGUCCGGAAUUAUUGGGCGUAAAGAGCUCGUAGGCGGCUUGUCACGUCGGGUGUGAAAGACCGGGGCUUAACCCCGGUUCUGCAUUCGAUACGGGCUAGCUAGAGUGUGGUAGGGGAGAUCGGAAUUCCU
Molecule: ribosomal RNA, 564 nt
Filed under: Streptomyces sp. 418A08
Lineage: Bacteria; Bacillati; Actinomycetota; Actinomycetes; Kitasatosporales; Streptomycetaceae
Also listed under: 3 other names
Description: bacterial SSU rRNA
Rfam family: Bacterial small subunit ribosomal RNA
Source: RNAcentral